UGGGGAAUAUUGCACAAUGGGCGCAAGCCUGAUGCAGCCACGCCGCGUGUGUGAAGAAGGCCUUCGGGUUGUAAAGCACUUUCAGCGAGGAGGAAGGUGGUGAGCUUAAUACGCUCAUCAAUUGACGUUACUCGCAGAAGAAGCACCGGCUAACUCCGUGCCAGCAGCCGCGGUAAUACGGAGGGUGCAAGCGUUAAUCGGAAUCACUGGGCGUAAAGCGCACGCAGGCGGUUUGUUAAGUCAGAUGUGAAAUCCCCGGGCUCAACCUGGGAACUGCAUUUGAAACUGGCAAGCUAGAGUCUCGUAGAGGGGGGUAGAAUUCCAGGUGUAGCGGUGAAAUGCGUAGAGAUCUGGAGGAAUACCGGUGGCGAAGGCGGCCCCCUGGACGAAGACUGACGCUCAGGUGCGAAAAGCGUGGGGAGCAAAACAGGAUUAGAUACCCUGGUAGUCCACGCUGUAAACGAUGUCGAUUUGGAGGUUGUGCCCUUGAGGCGUGGCUUCCGGAGCUAACGCGUUAAAUCGACCGCCUGGGGAGUACGGCCGCAAGGUU
Molecule: ribosomal RNA, 550 nt
Filed under: uncultured bacterium
Lineage: Bacteria
Description: partial 16S ribosomal RNA
Rfam family: Bacterial small subunit ribosomal RNA
Source: RNAcentral